GGCGCUUUCCGGGUGGGACGUCGGGUCGUGUUCUGACAGCUAGCACUCCACUCUUGUUUGCUGCGUGCGUUCGUCGCUUGGCCCGCUUGCUGUUCUCGCAAAAGCGCGGGGCAGAGGAGAGAAAGAAGCCUCUCGUUCUCCGAGAGAGACGCAGAGGCCGCAGUCAGGGCCUGGAUAUACUCGGAGGCUCGGCUUCUCCUCUGGGUGCUCCUUGUUGCUUCCAGGGAAAGUUUAGUCUGGAUCUGAGGCCUCGUGGCGCUCUUCCUGGUUUUUCAAUUUUGGUGGAGAAAUAGAGUUUGUGGUGAAGUAAAUGGCACCGCUGGAAUCCAAACCCUAAUGAAGCAGAGUCUCUUCUUAACCACUGUCUAUACUAAAGGUAAUUUAAAACAGGUAGGACACUUGAGGUUUUACCUGAAUCUUCUUCCACUAGGGUGCAGACAACAGGAAAGCAACAACUCUGGUUUGGUCACCGUGGUGGUCUUGCCCGGCACAUGGUGGGAGUCCAGCCAGAGCUGAUGGCCUCCUCUUCCCUCCUGACUAUUCAUCUGCUUCCACUCCAGGAGCACCACAGGCAUCUCCCCUGAUGCAGGGUAAAUUGCAGAAGCCAUGGUACCAGCCCGCAUCCAUGACCCCACAGAUAUUCCCCUUCUCCAAGUGGACUGACCCAGGCCUUUUACAAACACAGAAGGAUCUUGUGCAAGAUGAAUUCUAGUACUAGCUACUAAAAGAUCUCUUCACACAAAAGGCAAUAUUCCUGAAUUUGUAUUGGUCCAGGCAUUCGAGAAUCAAGGUCAGAAACCUGUAUAGGUUUUUAAGGUUAUUUAUUUCCUUCUUCCCUUAGAACACACAGACACAGACACGCAUAUGUUGCUUUUGCAGUCAUUUUUAUUUUUUGUUUUUUUGCUUUUUAGGGCCGCACCCAUGGCAUAUGGAAGUGCCCAGGCUAGAGAUUGAAUUGGAGCUGCAGCUGCCGGCCUACGCCACAGACACAGCAACACGGGAUCCGAGCUGCAUCUGUGACCUACACCACAGCUCAUGGCAACGCCAGAUCCGUGACCCACUGCAUGUGGCCAGGGAUCGAACCCGAAACCUCAUGGUUCCUAGUCAGAUUCAUUUCCUCUGUGCCACAACGGGAACUCCAUAGUCAUUUUUUAAAAAAAUAGACUUAAAUGUUCUCAGUUGCAGGUAGUCGGUUAAGAUGCCUUCAAAAUGUGCUGCAUGUAGGUGCGAGUGGGUGGGGGUGAGUUGCAGUCUCAAGACCUAGCGCACUGUGGACCCGCUCAGGAGCCUGCUUCCAGAUCACAGGUUUGUGCAACAAGAGGGCUAAUGCCGACAUCUUCCUUUCUGGAGAAAUGGAAUGACUCAGAAUCCAGAUGUUUCGCCUAGCCCUGCAUUUGUAAUUAAGAGCUGACGGUGGCAGUUCCCAGGGAGUCUUUGAAUCAUCUCUUCUUAUAUUUGCUCUUUUUAGAACAAUCUAGGACAUGUCAG
RNAcentral lists this long non-coding RNA (1488 nucleotides) under Sus scrofa (pig). Its description in RNAcentral is "lncRNA (ENSSSCG00000038150.3)". The record is from RNAcentral. Lineage: Eukaryota; Metazoa; Chordata; Mammalia; Artiodactyla; Suidae.